AUUUUUAUAUGUGUCAUCGUUGACAUGAAAUAAUAUGUCAGUUUAUUAACGAAGACUUGCGAUGUUUGAAUUAUUACCCUAAAUCAACUCAAAAGUGUAAAUUGUGAAACAUCUUUGCAAGUUUGUGUAAGAGAGCUUUGGUGUUGAGAUGCCGACGGGUGGGAACGUUAUCGCGGUGCGUUUGUGUUAAGUUUGGUUCAAGGGCCGAGUUUCUUCCUUCAUUACGCGGCAUCAAAGACGCAUAAUGGCGCCUUUCCAGCACACGCAGCGAGUAACUCCUUUGCCUACGAAGAUUCCGAUUGCCCCACUAAUCCUUCAGUAACUAUAAUCGCCUAUCCGCACAAGACGCACAUUUACCCUUCUCUAAUAGUGAUUAUAUCUAGAUGUUACAGAGUCAAAGUUAAUUAUAUUUAUAUUAUUACAGAAAA
Long non-coding RNA from Dalotia coriaria, 428 nucleotides. RefSeq lists it as uncharacterized. The transcript is spliced from 2 exons. NCBI's taxonomy places the organism in Eukaryota, Metazoa, Arthropoda, Insecta, Coleoptera, Staphylinidae. The record is from RefSeq and is a predicted model, not a curated record.